This 329-nucleotide ribosomal RNA is filed under the name uncultured eukaryote. RNAcentral's name for it is "partial 18S ribosomal RNA". It matches the Rfam family "Eukaryotic small subunit ribosomal RNA", at positions 1470 to 1796 of the family's 1831-position model. The record is from RNAcentral.
CCCUUAGAUGUUCUGGGCCGCACGCGCGCUACAAUGAUGAAUUCAACGAGUUUAUAACCUUGGUUGAAAAGCCUGGGUAAUCUUUUGAACUUUCGUCGUGAUGGGGCUAGACCCUUGCAAUUAUUGGUCUCCAACGAGGAAUUCCUAGUAAACGCAAGUCAUCAGCUUGCAUUGAUUACGUCCCUGCCCUUUGUACACACCGCCCGUCGCACCUACCGAUUGAAUGGUCCGGUGAAAUCUUCGGAUUGAGACUUUGAUUUCUUCACGGAAAACGCUGUUUUAAAAAGUUGAUUAAACCUUACCAUUUAGAGGAAGUAAAAGUCGUAACA